CAGACACAGAGGUUGCAGUUUCACUCAUGUGUUCUGGGUUUUCAGACGGCUCUGGCUCCGUGGACCCCCGGCCAGGCCGACGCUCCUGCGUUUGAUGAGUGGUUCAGGGGCACAGACGUCUGGAGCGAGGCUCACGUCAGACUCCAAUGUGCCAUCCACCGUUAGAAGGAGCAAGCAGACCGCAGUGAGACUCCAGUGUUCCAUCCUGGGGAUCGCGUCUGGCUCUCCUCCGACCGGUGGUUCCUUGUCCCCUGUCUGAUGCUGUCCCCCACGACACUUACCACCUGCUUCUCAACUCCCAGCGUCUACGUUACAGAAUGAGUAGCCCCCAGCUGCUGCUGGUUUUGUCUCUCUCCUCUCCUUUCCUCUUGUGGAGAUCAAACAAGAUGGGUGGUUUCCUGAGGAAAAUCCCCCAGUGCAACAGCUUGCUUCCAGGCGCCCGCUUUGCUGCAGAACACUUCUAAUGGAGACAGGUCCAUGCAAAGGUUAAUCCUCUUCGACAAGGAGCAACAGCAGCUCAGGUGUGACAAGCCCCCCUGUUCUGUUUGUCCACAACGCCUCUGCAACCUGAGGCUAGACCAGCGUCACCAUGGCGCUGUGUUUGUUUGUUCAGAUAUAAAUCACUAGGUUCCUGCAGUGAAUAGAAAUGUAAUAUGCAGUAUCGUUA
Molecule: long non-coding RNA, 667 nt
Filed under: Salmo salar (Atlantic salmon)
Lineage: Eukaryota; Metazoa; Chordata; Actinopteri; Salmoniformes; Salmonidae
Description: lncRNA (ENSSSAG00000096762.1, ENSSSAG00075041193.1)
Source: RNAcentral